This 77-nucleotide transfer RNA is filed under the name Acidobacteria bacterium RIFCSPLOWO2_12_FULL_60_22. Its description in RNAcentral is "tRNA-Pro". It matches the Rfam family "tRNA". From Rfam's summary of the family: Transfer RNA (tRNA) molecules are approximately 80 nucleotides in length. RNAcentral also lists the same sequence under 1 other name. Lineage: Bacteria; Pseudomonadati; Acidobacteriota. The record is from RNAcentral.
CGGGACGUGGCGCAGCCUGGUAGCGCGCUUGCUUGGGGUGCAAGAGGUCCGGGGUUCAAAUCCCCGCGUCCCGACCA